Molecule: non-coding RNA, 366 nt
Organism: Biomphalaria pfeifferi
Lineage: Eukaryota; Metazoa; Mollusca; Gastropoda; Planorbidae
Source: the annotation of a GenBank genome assembly
AUAUAUAUAUAUAUAUAUAUAUAUGGUUCCCGGCCAUUUCAUCCCCGGUUUUUUCAUCCCUUGGUCUUUUCAUCUCCCGUCACUUCAUGCCCGGUCAUUUCAUCCCCUGGUCAUUUCAUUACUUUAAACCCCAAGCUUGGCUAAACCUCUCUCUCUCUCUCUUUCUCUCUCUCUCUCUCUCUCUCUCUGUUACACUUUUUAAAAAUUCAGCCCUAAUUUUAUUUCCUCAUUGGUUGUUGCUGAUGAUGCCUUUAUGGUCACUUGAGUUUCUUAGAAUUUGAUCACUCAAUUUUUAUUGGGAUAAUCAUUGUAACUUUUCCAUUCAUCAAACUGAGCUUAGGAACAAUAACACUUUAUGAUUUUUUU